This is a non-coding RNA of Camellia sinensis, 532 nucleotides long. Lineage: Eukaryota; Viridiplantae; Streptophyta; Magnoliopsida; Ericales; Theaceae. The record is from RefSeq and is a predicted model, not a curated record.
ACCGCUGUCUAACGAAAUGAAUUAUUUAUUUUUAUAUUUUUGCAUACAUCCAAUGAUACACAAAUUGGGCCAUGAUGAUCGCCUGAAUUUAUUUUCCAGUAAGAACCAUGGGCAAAAUUUAUUCAACACCUUGAUUUCUUCGUGGCAGGGAGGAUCUCGAAAAGCUGUUCUUCGGCAUGCCUGCCGUAUUCACAGGGAUGUUAGGAGGUGAAGAGCUCUCUCAAGCAUAUACGAGUGGAGAUGUUUUCGUCAUGCCUUCAGAAUCAGAGACGCUCGGACACAUAAUGUCAUUUUCAGAAAACAGGUGAAAAGGGAAUAAGUUAUUCAAAGCUUGCGAAUUUAUCACCUAUAGUCGGCCUCUACUCAAGCUUAAUCUUGCGGUCGGUCCAGUCUCAAUAGCAACAUCUUUCUGCCGAAUGAAUACAUAAUUGAGGGCAGUUCAAGCUAUCAGUUUUACCCACGGUAAUUUGCCGUAACCUAUAAAAGAUUUGUAACAAUUUUACAAAUACAAACUUACUACAUAAAAGAUAGA